Molecule: ribosomal RNA, 101 nt
Filed under: Riccia albida
Lineage: Eukaryota; Viridiplantae; Streptophyta; Marchantiopsida; Marchantiales; Ricciaceae
Description: partial 5.8S ribosomal RNA
Rfam family: 5.8S ribosomal RNA
About the family: 5.8S ribosomal RNA (5.8S rRNA) is a component of the large subunit of the eukaryotic ribosome. It is transcribed by RNA polymerase I as part of the 45S precursor that also contains 18S and 28S rRNA.
Source: RNAcentral
UGCGAUMCCUAGUGUGAAUUGCAGAAUUCCGCGAAUCAUCGAGUUUUUGAACGCAUAUUGCGCCCGAGGUUCACGCCGAGGGCACGUCUGUCUGAGCGUCA